Molecule: transfer RNA, 361 nt
Filed under: uncultured Microcystis sp.
Lineage: Bacteria; Bacillati; Cyanobacteriota; Cyanophyceae; Chroococcales; Microcystaceae
Description: partial 16S-23S ribosomal RNA intergenic spacer
Rfam family: tRNA (bases 136-209)
Source: RNAcentral
AAAGGGAGACCUAAUUCAGGUAAAAGACGAAAAAAAAGUAGUCGCUACCAAGAAUCAAUCCCAAAAGGUCGGAGCGAGGCGAAAUUGGCUUUCAAACUAGGUUCUGGGUUCAAACAAGACCUGAAUCAGGAACAAGGGCUAUUAGCUCAGGUGGUUAGAGCGCACCCCUGAUAAGGGUGAGGUCCCUGGUUCGAGUCCAGGAUGGCCCACCUGCACAGGUGGCAAAAACAAGAGAAGCGAGGAAUUAGCACCUUAUCUUACUGACAUAGUAAGAGAGAAUGCUGGCUCUGAGUAAAGAGUCCAGAGGAACCUUGAAAACUGCAUAGAGCUAGGUGAAAAAGCCAAAAAAGAAGACCGCAAG